UACGUAGGUGGCAAGCGUUGUCCGGAAUUAUUGGGCGUAAAGCGCGCGCAGGCGGCCUUUUAAGUCUGAUGUGAAAGCCCCCGGCUCAACCGGGGAGGGUCAUUGGAAACUGGAAGGCUUGAGUGCAGAAGAGAAGAGCGGAAUUCCACGUGUAGCGGUGAAAUGCGUAGAGAUGUGGAGGAACACCAGUGGCGAAGGCGGCUCUUUGGUCAGGAACUGACGCUGAGGCGCGAAAGCGUGGGGAGCAAACAGG
This 253-nucleotide ribosomal RNA is filed under the name uncultured bacterium. RNAcentral describes it as "partial 16S ribosomal RNA". It matches the Rfam family "Bacterial small subunit ribosomal RNA", at positions 524 to 776 of the family's 1533-position model. The record is from RNAcentral.